RNAcentral lists this ribosomal RNA (484 nucleotides) under uncultured bacterium. RNAcentral's name for it is "partial 16S ribosomal RNA". It matches the Rfam family "Bacterial small subunit ribosomal RNA", at positions 30 to 507 of the family's 1533-position model. The record is from RNAcentral.
AUUGAACGCUGGCGGCAGGCCUAACACAUGCAAGUCGAGCGGAUGAAGGGAGCUUGCUCCUGGAUUCAGCGGCGGACGGGUGAGUAAUGCCUAGGAAUCUGCCUGGUAGUGGGGGAUAACGUCCGGACACGGGCGCUAAUACCGCAUACGUCCUGAGGGUGAAAGUGGGGGAUCUUCGGACCUCACGCUAUCAGAUGAGCCUAGGUCGGAUUAGCUAGUUGGUGGGGUAAAGGCCUACCAAGGCGACGAUCCGUAACUGGUCUGAGAGGAUGAUCAGUCACACUGGAACUGAGACACGGUCCAGACUCCUACGGGAGGCAGCAGUGGGGAAUAUUGGACAAUGGGCGAAAGCCUGAUCCAGCCAUGCCGCGUGUGUGAAGAAGGUCUUCGGAUUGUAAAGCACUUUAAGUUGGGAGGAAGGGCAGUAAGUUAAUACCUUGCUGUUUUGACGUUACCAACAGAAUAAGCACCGGCUAACUUCGUG